CCGCUUUUGAAACUUGUGGAUUAUUCGUAGCACGCGAGAACUUACCAGGUCUUGACAUCCUCUGACAAUCCUAGAGAUAGGACGUCCCCUUCGGGCAGAGUGACAGGUGGUGCAUGGUUGUCGUCAGCUCGUGUCGUGAGAUGUUGGGUUAAGUCCCGCAACGAGCGCAACCCUUGAUCUUAGUUGCCAGCAUUCAGUUGGGCACUCUAAGGUGACUGCCGGUGACAAACCGGAGAAAGGUGGGGAUGACGUCAAAUCAUCAUGCCCCUUAUGACCUGGGCUACACACGUGCUACAAUGGACAGAACAAAGGGCAGCGAAACCGCGAGUUUAGCCAAUCCCACAAAUCUGUUCUCAGUUCGGAUCGCAGUCUGCAACUCGACUGCGUGAAGCUGGAAUCGCUAGUAAUCGCGGAUCAGCAUGCCGCGGUGAAUACGUUCCCGGAGACAUUGUACCACCCGCCCGUA
RNAcentral lists this ribosomal RNA (466 nucleotides) under Bacillus subtilis. RNAcentral describes it as "bacterial SSU rRNA". It matches the Rfam family "Bacterial small subunit ribosomal RNA", at positions 927 to 1398 of the family's 1533-position model. The record is from RNAcentral. Lineage: Bacteria; Bacillati; Bacillota; Bacilli; Caryophanales; Bacillaceae.